RNAcentral lists this ribosomal RNA (253 nucleotides) under uncultured bacterium. RNAcentral's name for it is "partial 16S ribosomal RNA". It matches the Rfam family "Bacterial small subunit ribosomal RNA", at positions 524 to 776 of the family's 1533-position model. The record is from RNAcentral.
UACGUAGGGUGCGAGCGUUAAUCGGAAUUACUGGGCGUAAAGGGUUUGUAGGUGGCCAACUAAGUCAGACGUGAAAUCCCUCAGCUUAACUGGGGAACUGCGUCUGAGACUGGAUGGCUUGAGUGCAGGAGAGGAACGCGGAAUUCCAGGUGUAGCGGUGAAAUGCGUAGAUAUCUGGAGGAACACCGGUGGCGAAGGCGACAUCCUGGACCGGUAUUGACGCUGAGGCGCGAAAGCCAGGGGAGCAAACGGG